Molecule: ribosomal RNA, 447 nt
Filed under: uncultured bacterium
Lineage: Bacteria
Description: bacterial SSU rRNA
Rfam family: Bacterial small subunit ribosomal RNA
Source: RNAcentral
GCCCAGACUCCUACGGGAGGCAGCAGUGGGGGAUAUUGCACAAUGGGGGAAACCCUGAUGCAGCGACGCCGCGUGUAGGAAGACGGUCCUCUGGAUUGUAAACUACUGUCCCCAGGGACGAAGAUGACGGUACCUGGGGAGGAAGCUCCGGCUAACUACGUGCCGGCAGCCGCGGUAAUACGUAGGGAGCGAGCGUUGUCCGGAAUUACUGGGUGUGAAGGGAGCGUAGGCGGGGAUGCAAGUUGGGUGUUAAAUCUACCGGCUCAACUGGUAGCCGCGCUCAAAACUGCAGCUCUUGAGUGAAGUAGAGGCAGGCGGAAUUCCUAGUGUAGCGGUGAAAUGCGUAGAUAUUAGGAGGAACACCAGUGGCGAAGGCGGCCUGCUGGGCUUUUACUGACGCUGAGGCUCGAAAGUGUGGGGAGCAAACAGGAUUAGAUACCCCCGUAA